AAGGCCCUCGGGUUGUAAAGCACUUUCAGUGGGGAAGAAAUUCUCAAGGCUAAUACCCUUUUGAGCGUUGACGUUACCCACAGAAGAAGCACUGGCUAACUCUGUGCCAGCAGCCGCGGUAAUACAGAGAGUGCAAGCGUUAAUCGGAAUCACUGGGCGUAAAGCGCGCGUAGGUGGAUAUUUAAGUCGGAUGUGAAAGCCCUAGGCUUAACCUGGGAAUUACAUCCGAUACUAGGUAUCUCGAGUAUGAUAGAGGGAAGUGGAAUUUCCGGUGUAGCGGUGAAAUGCGUAGAUAUCGGAAAGAACAUCAGUGGCGAAGGCGGCUUCCUGGAGCAAUACUGACACUGAGGCGCGAAAGCGUGGGGAGCAAACAGGAUUAGAGACCCUGGUAGUCCACGCCGUCAACGAUGAGAACUAGCUGUUGGAAAGUUUACUUUCUAGUAGCAAAGCUAACGCGUUAAGUUCUCCGCCUGGGGAGUACGGCCGCAAGGUUAAAACUCAAAGAAAUUGACGGGGGCCCGCACAAGCGGUGGAGCAUGUGGUUUAAUUCGAUGCAACACGAAAAACCUUACCUACCCUUGACAUCCUCG
Molecule: ribosomal RNA, 590 nt
Filed under: Coxiella-like endosymbiont
Lineage: Bacteria; Pseudomonadati; Pseudomonadota; Gammaproteobacteria; Legionellales; Coxiellaceae
Description: bacterial SSU rRNA
Rfam family: Bacterial small subunit ribosomal RNA
Source: RNAcentral